GACGAACGCUGGCGGCGCGCCUAACACAUGCAAGUCGAACGAGUGAGAGAGAGCUUGCUUUCUCAAGCGAGUGGCGAACGGGUGAGUAACGCGUGAGGAACCUGCCUCAAAGAGGGGGACAACAGUUGGAAACGACUGCUAAUACCGCAUAAGCCCACAGCUCGGCAUCGAGCAGAGGGAAAAGGAGCAAUCCGCUUUGAGAUGGCCUCGCGUCCGAUUAGCUAGUUGGUGAGGUAAUGGCCCACCAAGGCAACGAUCGGUAGCCGGACUGAGAGGUUGAACGGCCACAUUGGGACUGAGACACGGCCCAGACUCCUACGGGAGGCAGCAGUGGGGAAUAUUGCACAAUGGGGGAAACCCUGAUGCAGCGACGCCGCGUGGAGGAAGAAGGUCUUCGGAUUGUAAACUCCUGUUGUUGAGGAAGAUAAUGACGGUACUCAACAAGGAAGUGACGGCUAACUACGUGCCAGCAGCCGCGGUAAAACGUAGGUCACAAGCGUUGUCCGGAAUUACUGGGUGUAAAGGGAGCGCAGGCGGGAAGACAAGUUGGAAGUGAAAUCUAUGGGCUCAACCCAUAAACUGCUUUCAAAACUGUUUUUCUUGAGUAGUGCAGAGGUAGGCGGAAUUCCCGGUGUAGCGGUGGAAUGCGUAGAUAUCGGGAGGAACACCAGUGGCGAAGGCGGCCUACUGGGCACCAACUGACGCUGAGGCUCGAAAGUGUGGGUAGCAAACAGGAUUAGAUACCCUGGUAGUCCACACCGUAAACGAUGAUUACUAGGUGUUGGAGGAUUGACCCCUUCAGUGCCGCAGUUAACACAAUAAGUAAUCCACCUGGGGAGUACGACCGCAAGGUUGAAACUCAAAGGAAUUGACGGGGGCCCGCACAAGCAGUGGAGUAUGUGGUUUAAUUCGACGCAACGCGAAGAACCUUACCAAGUCUUGACAUCCCUUGACGAACAUAGAAAUAUGUUUUCUCUUCGGAGCAAGGAGACAGGUGGUGCAUGGUUGUCGUCAGCUCGUGUCGUGAGAUGUUGGGUUAAGUCCCGCAACGAGCGCAACCCUUACUGUCAGUUACUACGCAAGAGGACUCUGGCAGGACUGCCGUUGACAAAACGGAGGAAGGUGGGGAUGACGUCAAAUCAUCAUGCCCUUUAUGACUUGGGCUACACACGUACUACAAUGGCGUUAAACAAAGAGAAGCAAGACCGCGAGGUGGAGCAAAACUCAGAAACAACGUCCCAGUUCGGACUGCAGGCUGCAACUCGCCUGCACGAAGUCGGAAUUGCUAGUAAUCGUGGAUCAGCAUGCCACGGUGAAUACGUUCCCGGGCCUU
This 1333-nucleotide ribosomal RNA is filed under the name uncultured bacterium. RNAcentral describes it as "bacterial SSU rRNA". It matches the Rfam family "Bacterial small subunit ribosomal RNA", at positions 28 to 1382 of the family's 1533-position model. The record is from RNAcentral.